GGAGGGUGCAAGCGUUAAUCGGAAUUACUGGGCGUAAAGCGCGCGUAGGUGGUUUGUUAAGUGGAAUGUGAAAGCCCUGGGCUCAACCUAGGAAUUGCAUCCCAAACUGGCAGACUAGAGUACAAGAGGGGUGUGGAAUUUCCUGUGUAGCGGUGAAAUVGCAGAUAUAGGAAGGAACAUCAGUGGCGAAGGCGACGAAUGGCUUGAUACUGACACUGAGGUGCGAAACGGUGGGGAGCAAACAGGAUUAGAUACCCUGGUAGUCCACGCCGUAAACGAUGUAGACCUUAGCCGUUGGGGACUUGAU
RNAcentral lists this ribosomal RNA (307 nucleotides) under uncultured marine bacterium. Its description in RNAcentral is "bacterial SSU rRNA". It matches the Rfam family "Bacterial small subunit ribosomal RNA", at positions 527 to 835 of the family's 1533-position model. The record is from RNAcentral.